CCUGUCUUUGCAAUACUUUGAGACAGUCGCUUCUCAUCCUCUAACACCCUCACUCUACCACAUGCUUCAACUGCAGAGCAACUCACAGAUGCCGCUGGGUCUGCCAGGUGCUCAGUCAGCAUAGUAUCUAUCCUUGGGAUGAUGAAAAUGGCCCUGAGAGGAAGAACUGGCAGAUGGAAAUACUGGGACAGAAUGUCCAAGUUGGCUCUGCCUUCCCUUGAGUCUACCACCUCCAGCACUCUUUGCACUAGGAUUUUUAUCAGUGUAGAAGAAGAGCCAUUGAGCCCAACAGAUGGACUCCACCAGGGCCUGAUCACCUUUUAAAAAUUAACAUUCUUGGAUUUGGAUUGAGAAGUAUUUGCAACAUGACCUUUCGGGGAAGAAAAAUAUCACAUGCCAAGGGUCAAUAAAUCAAUAUUUAUUAAGUACCUACUGUGUGCU
Molecule: long non-coding RNA, 441 nt
Filed under: Phascolarctos cinereus (koala)
Lineage: Eukaryota; Metazoa; Chordata; Mammalia; Diprotodontia; Phascolarctidae
Description: lncRNA (ENSPCIG00000013754.2)
Source: RNAcentral